Molecule: small RNA, 1340 nt
Filed under: Pan troglodytes (chimpanzee)
Lineage: Eukaryota; Metazoa; Chordata; Mammalia; Primates; Hominidae
Description: retained intron
Source: RNAcentral
GGCAUUGCCUCAGCCAAGACCUACUAUCGGGAUGAACACAUCUACCCCUACAUGUACCUGGCUGGCUACCACUGUCGCAACCGCAAUGUGCGGGAAGCCCUGCAGGCCUGGGCGGACACGGCCACUGUCAUCCAGGAGUGAGGAUCCCCCUACUAGGGCCUGCAGCCUGUCCUUUCUUCCCCUCCAUCAGUUUCCAACCACCUUCGUCCAGGACUGAGGCCUGGCUCCCACGCCCCAUCCCCUUUCCAUCCAGUCCCUAGGCAGCAAGGCCACCAUUACCCAGGAGGUAGGGACCCUGAUUAAGGUGUCACAUCUUUCCCUCCCUCCCCUCUCCUCCUAAUUUUUUUUUUCUCAGAACAGUCUCAAAUCUCCAAUGUUUAACCACCAUCAUCCAGCAGUGGGACUUCCACCCUCGGCCCCAUGCCCCCUCCUCAUUCUUGCUUUCUUGCUCUGGGCUGACCCAGACAGCAUCAUUUUGCAGUGAGGACCCCACCUACUCCCCCAGCCCCUGGGGGCUCCAUCCCCCGCCAGGUCCCUGGGGCUACCCCCGAUGGUGAGACCCCUUCAGACCCUACAGAGACCCCACUGCUCUCACAGCUACAACUACUGCCGGGAAGACGAGGAGAUCUACAAGGAGUUCUUUGAAGUAGCCAAUGAUGUCAUCCCCAACCUGCUGAAGGAGGCAGCCAGCUUGCUGGAGGCGGGCGAGGAGCGGCCGGGGGAGCAAAGCCAGGGCAUCCAGAGCCAAGGUUCCGCCCUCCAGGACCCUGAGUGCUUCGCCCACCUGCUGCGAUUCUACGACGGCAUCUGCAAAUGGGAGGAGGGCAGUCCCACGCCUGUGCUGCACGUGGGCUGGGCCACCUUUCUUGUGCAGUCCCUAGGCCGUUUUGAGGGACAGGUGCGGCAGAAGGUGCGCAUAGUGAGCCGAGAGGCCGAGGCGGCCGAGGCCGAGGAGCCGUGGGGCGAGGACGCCCGGGAAGGCCGGCGGCGGGGCCCACGGCGGGAGUCCAAGCCAGAGGAGCCCCCGCCGCCCAAGAAGCCAGCACUGGACAAGGGCCUGGGCACCGGCCAGGGUGCAGUGUCAGGACCCCCCCGGAAGCCUCCUGGGACGGUCGCUGGCACAGCCCGAGGCCCUGAAGGUGGCAGCACGGCUCAGGUGCCAGCGCCCGCAGCAUCACCACCACCGGAGGGUCCAGUGCUCACUUUCCAGAGUGAGAAGAUGAAGGGCAUGAAGGAGCUGCUGGUGGCCACCAAGAUCAACUCGAGCGCCAUCAAGCUGCAACUCACGGCACAGUCGCAAGUGCAGAUGAAGAAGCAGAAAGUGUCCACCCCUAGUGACU